RNAcentral lists this transfer RNA (72 nucleotides) under Ovis aries (sheep). It matches the Rfam family "tRNA". Rfam says of the family: Transfer RNA (tRNA) molecules are approximately 80 nucleotides in length. Their secondary structure includes four short double-helical elements and three loops (D, anti-codon, and T loops). The record is from Rfam by way of RNAcentral. Lineage: Eukaryota; Metazoa; Chordata; Mammalia; Artiodactyla; Bovidae.
UCCCUGGUGGCUCAGAGGUUAAAGCAUCUGCCCGCAAUGCAGGAGAUCCAGUUUUGAUCCCUGGGUUGGGAA